RNAcentral lists this ribosomal RNA (254 nucleotides) under uncultured bacterium. Its description in RNAcentral is "partial 16S ribosomal RNA". It matches the Rfam family "Bacterial small subunit ribosomal RNA", at positions 524 to 776 of the family's 1533-position model. The record is from RNAcentral.
UACGGAGGGUGCGAGCGUUGUCCGGAAUCAUUGGGCGUAAAGGGCGCGUAGGUGGCGGGACAAGCGUGCGGUGAAAGCUCGGGGCUCAACCCCGAGUCGGCCGUGCGAACUGUUUUGCUUGAGCACUGUAGAGGCAGGCGGAAUUCCGGGUGUAGCGGUGGAAUGCGUAGAGAUCCGGAAGAACACCGGUGGCGAAGGCGGUUAGCUGGGCAGUUGCUGACACUGGAGGCGCGACAGCGUGGGGAGCAAACAGG